CUUCACGGGCCGGGGGUGGGCCGGGCGGUCAGGGCCAGUUUCUCUCACCUCAUCUUCGCAAGGGCCUCCUGCACGCACCUUCGUGGCCUGCCGCUUCUCUGUUUCUUUAGCUGCUUGCUGGAGGGCUCCUCACCAGGAGCGCUGCCAGGGUAGGGUGCUUGUCUGGGUCUAGGUGAACCCCGGCACCCGCUCCUGGAGGACUCACGGGCCCAGGGAGUGGAGGGGCUCCAGCACUCUCGCCCCCCACCACCCGGACAUCCUGAAGAUACUGCGCAUUGGGUGUUCCGGAAUCUGAACCCAUAUUCUACCCAAAUCUGGAUUGCUUGCCCCAGGGAAGGUGAAGACACAGAGGAGCAGAGGGAGGCAGGACCACCCUCGCAUGCACCCCCAGUACUUCCUUCUCCCGCUUGGAAAACAGGCAUUAAGAACACAGGAGAGGCUGAGCCCGGACACAGCAACGUGGCCCACGCUGGGGCUGAACUGGAGGCUCGAGCUGAUGACUCAGAGGGCAUCUGAUGGGAUCUGAGAAUCUGCAUUUCUGAUGAGUUCCCAGAGGUAGUCUGCACCCGCGGUCCAGGGACUGCUGGAGGUACUGCUGACCCACUCCAGCCCUCAUUUUGUGGGAAGAAGAACAGGCCUGGAGCACAGACAGACCCGUCCACAUCACGGUGUAUGUGUAGAAGGCGUUGGCACCCGCCUCCAGGCUGACCGCCCCGAGCCUCCACCCCAUUGCAGUCACCGGCCGCCCCUGGAUGGAUGCCCAGGACCACUGUCCGCAGAAGAAAGCCUACGGGGCCAGUGUGGCACUGGGCAGCAGCACAGACUACCUGCUGGUCUGGAGGCCGCCCUCCAGGCGUCCCCGUGGCUGUGCAGCCUGUCUCCUGGCUGGCUGCCUGUCACUGGUGAGCUGCCAGCUGGCUCCCCCAGUGACCCACUGCACACUGGCACCAGCCCAGAGGGGCAACGGCCAGCUGGGGCCGCUGCUCUGGGCCUGGGCAGUGUGGCUGGUGGAGAAGCACCCUGAUGCUAACCAGUCAACAGGGGACCCUGAGUUUCUGGGGCCUCAAGGUUGCACUGUCUCUGGAGUCCUGGGCAGUUCUCGGCAGGGUAGGUGCCCACCAUGCCCCCGACUGCAUUCCUGCACCUGGCAGCCCAUUUUAGCAGCCUCCUCGCCCAGGGAAGCCCCUCUCCUUGUCUAAGAUGCCCGUGCUGUCUCCCAGAGCUGUGUGCCAGAAGCUGUCAUGAUGCAGACCCAGCUGACACCCCCAUUCCAGCGUACACGGGCACAUUGCAGAGUGGGGUUCGGUGGGGUUUGGUUCCAAACUGCAGUAGAGCAAAUGUUGCAGCAGUGAGUCACAGAGUUUUUGGCUUCCCGGUCAGUGCAUAUAAAAGUUCUAUUUAAAUUAUCCUGUAAUCUGGGCCUCCCCAGUGGCACAGCGGUUGAGCGCUGGGCUGCGAAGCUGUCCGCAGCCUCUGCAGCGCCGGUUCAAUCCCCGGCCACUGGGGAGGGUCCCACAUGGCGUGCAGACCUCUCCUGCCUCACCCGCUACUCCCCUCAGCAGUGUAUUUCAUCAGUCUGCCUGUUCUGCUCCCCGCUCUGGCUCUGGUGAAUUCUCUCACUCUCCCGUGCUUCUGAACUGUACCCCAGUUCUUGUAUAA
Talpa occidentalis (Iberian mole) is the source of this 1659-nucleotide long non-coding RNA. RefSeq lists it as uncharacterized. The transcript has 4 exons. The record is from RefSeq and is a predicted model, not a curated record. NCBI's taxonomy places the organism in Eukaryota, Metazoa, Chordata, Mammalia, Eulipotyphla, Talpidae.